Non-coding RNA from Styela clava, 1032 nucleotides. The record is from RefSeq and is a predicted model, not a curated record. Lineage: Eukaryota; Metazoa; Chordata; Ascidiacea; Stolidobranchia; Styelidae.
GUGCAGUCGAUUUUGUGUGUGGUUGGUGCUGGAAUAUUACUCCUUAUCAGUCUGUCUCUUUGGAACAAUAUUCAGAUGCAGAACUGUUGUUGAUGUUGAAAUUGAAGAUGCGAAGACACGAUGUAACGAAACCGAGGGAAAAUCUACAGCUUUCUUAAACACUUGUUGAAAGUUGACAAGGCAGUAUACUACUUCAUCAAUAGAGAAAUUCGUCUCAGUAGAUAGAAGCCUAUCGAGUCUGACCAGCAAAGCAACUUUCCCCAACACUGAUUGAAAGUUAGCAAGACAGUACAUCAUUUCAUCAAAAGAAUUGCCUCGUCAUUUGCCUGGUAUUCAUCACUGAUUGAGAUAGAAGCCUAUCGAGUCUGGUCAGAAAAGCAACCUUUGAGAGACUGCUUGAACGUUAGAAAGACAGUACAUCAAUUUCAUCAAAAGAAUUUCGUCGUGGUAAUUUGUCUGGUAUUCAUCACUGAGCCAGAUGAGAGCCUAUCGCGUCUGGCCAGCAGAGCAACUUUCUAAGAGACUGCUUGAACGUUAGAAAGGCAGUACAUCAAUUUCAUCAAACGAAAUUCGCCGUGGUCAUUUGUCUGGUAUUCAUCACUGAUUAAGAUGAGAGCCUAUCGCGUCUGGUCAGCAGAGCAACUUUCUAAAGGACUGCUUGAACGUUAGAAAGACAGUACAUCAAUUUCAUCAAAGGAAUUUCGUCGUGGUCAUUUUGUCUGAUAUUCAUCACUGAGCAAGAUGAGAGCUUAUCGAGUCUGGCCAGCAGAGCAAUUUUCUAAGACACUGCUUGAAAGUUAGAAAGACAGUACAUCAAUUCAUCAAAAGAAAUGCCUCGUCAUUUGUCUGGUAUUCAUCACCGAGCAAGAUGAAAGCCUAUCGAAUCUGGCCAGUAUGCAAAGCAACCUUUUAAGAGACUGCUUGAACGUUAGAAAGACAGUACAUCAAUUUCAUCAAAAGAAUUUCGUCGUGGUCAUUUGUCUGGUAUUCGUCACUGAGCAAGAUGAGAGCCUAUCGAGUCUGGCCAGCAGA